AAUAGAUACCCCGGUAGUCCACGCCGUAAACGAUGAGUGCUAAGUGUUAGAGGGUUUCCGCCCUUUAGUGCUGCAGCUAACGCAUUAAGCACUCCGCCUGGGGAGUACGGCCGCAAGGCUGAAACUCAAAGGAAUUGACGGGGGCCCGCACAAGCGGUGGAGCAUGUGGUUUAAUUCGAAGCAACGCGAAGAACCUUACCAGGUCUUAACAUCCUCUGCCAACCCUAGAGAUAGGGCGUUCCCCUUCGGGGGACAGAGUGACAGGUGGUGCAUGGUUGUCGUCAGCUCGUGUCGUGAGAUGUUGGGUUAAGUCCCGCAACGAGCGCAACCCUUGAUCUUAGUUGCCAGCAUUCAGUUGGGCACUCUAAGGUGACUGCCGGUGACAAACCGGAGGAAGGUGGGGAUGACGUCAAAUCAUCAUGCCCCUUAUGACCUGGGCUACACACGUGCUACAAUGGAUGGUACAAAGAGCUGCGAACCCGCGAGGGUAAGCGAAUCUCAUAAAGCCAUUCUCAGUUCGGA
Molecule: ribosomal RNA, 522 nt
Filed under: uncultured bacterium
Lineage: Bacteria
Description: bacterial SSU rRNA
Rfam family: Bacterial small subunit ribosomal RNA
Source: RNAcentral